AAUGCUUGGCUCACGUCUUGCGAUUUUAUGAGUGUAAUGUAAAUAGGUUCACGAAUGCAAUUGGAGGGCAAGUCUGGUGCCAGCAGCCGCGGUAAUUCCAGCUCCAAUAGCGUAUAUUAAAGUUGUUGCAGUUAAAAAACUCGUAGUUGGAAUGGCAGUGUGUGCUGGCGAGCAUAGAUAAAGUAAUGCUUGCCGUGUGUGUGCACACUGGGCAUACGACGGGGCGGCCAUUCAGUUGGACUGCCGGCCGUGUAUGCCGACACGUUACUUUGACGAAAUUGGGGUGCUCAAAGCAGGCUCUGUCAGCCUGAACAUUUUAGCAUGGGAUAACACUGGGAACUGUCCUAUUUGUUGGUUACAUAGGUUAGCUCUUUGGUUAAUAGGGGCAGUUGGGGGCAUUAGUACUUGGAAGCUAGAGGUGAAAUUCUUUGGACUUUUCCAAUGACUACCUAAUGUCGAAGGCAUUUGCCAAGGAUGUCCGUUAAUCAAGAAUGAAGGUC
RNAcentral lists this ribosomal RNA (500 nucleotides) under uncultured eukaryote. RNAcentral's name for it is "bacterial SSU rRNA". It matches the Rfam family "Eukaryotic small subunit ribosomal RNA", at positions 477 to 991 of the family's 1831-position model. The record is from RNAcentral.